CCUACGGGUGGCAGCAGUGAGGAAUAUUGGUCAAUGGACGAGAGUCUGAACCAGCCAAGUAGCGUGAAGGAUGACUGCCCUAUGGGUUGUAAACUUCUUUUAUAAAGGAAUAAAACGAGGCACGUGUGCCUUUUUGCAUGUACUUUAUGAAUAAGGAUCGGCUAACUCCGUGCCAGCAGCCGCGGUAAUACGGAGGAUCCGAGCGUUAUCCGGAUUUAUUGGGUUUAAAGGGAGCGUAGAUGGGUUGUUAAGUCAGUUGUGAAAGUUUGCGGCUCAACCGUAAAAUUGCAAUUGAUACUGGAAGUCGUGAGUACAGUUGAGGUAGGCGGAAUUCGUGGUGUAGCGGUGAAAUGCUUAGAUAUCACGAAGAACCCCGAUUGCGAAGGCAGCUUACUAAACUGUGACUGACAUUGAUGCUCGAAAGUGUGGGUAUCAAACAGGAGUAGAUACCCCUGUAGUC
Molecule: ribosomal RNA, 460 nt
Filed under: uncultured bacterium
Lineage: Bacteria
Description: partial 16S ribosomal RNA
Rfam family: Bacterial small subunit ribosomal RNA
Source: RNAcentral